UCCUGGAACAUAGCCAGUCUACUUGCAGUGAAACAAUAAUCAUUCAAACACAGCCUCUCAAGGAUGGAAAAUGGAUAACUGUCCCAUAUUCAAACAGCUGUAAUAUGAUAGAUUAAAGUGGGCUAACCACAAGCUGGGUGAACAGAAAUUUUUUUUUUUUUUUAGUAUCACUCUGUUGCACAAGCUGGAGUGCAGCGGCACGAUCUCGGCUCACUACAACCUCCAACUCCCGGGUUCAAGCAAUUCUCAUGCCUCAGCCUCCGGAGUAGCUGGGACUACAGGCACGUGCCACCAUGCCCGGCUAAUUUUUGUAUUUUUAGUGGAGAUGGGGUUUCACUAUGUUGGCCAGGCCGGUCUUGAACUCCUGACCACUUGAUCCGCCUGCCUGGGCCUCCCAAAGUUCUGAGAUUACAGACGUGACCCACUGCACUGGCCAGAAAAAUUCUAUAUAUGUGUUGAGUCAUGACUUCAAAACACAGACUGCAGUUGCUGGGGAAAAUUGCAACAGACAGAAAGAAUACAAGGUGUGCCAUACAACGGACAGAAAGAAUACAAGGACUAGGGCUGCUCAUUCUAAGAAAGAGCAUUAAAAGGCCUGGAUACUCUCAAAGAGCUUUCAGCUGAACAGAAGGAGGACAAUGCAAGGCCACAUUUGGCGCCAUCUAGUGCUUAAUGAGUGCCAUCUUGGAUGGCCCCCAAAAGCAAAGAGUCAAGGGCUCCAGCGUGAUAUUUUAAAAGUUUCUCUGACCUGGCCGGGCGCGGUGGCUCACGCCUGUAAUCCCGGCACUUUGGGAGGCCGAGGCGGGUGGAUCACGAGGUCAGGAGAUCCAGCCCAUCCUGGCUAACACGGUGAAACCCCGUCU
Molecule: long non-coding RNA, 863 nt
Filed under: Homo sapiens (human)
Lineage: Eukaryota; Metazoa; Chordata; Mammalia; Primates; Hominidae
Description: non-protein coding lnc-TMEM164-3:1
Source: RNAcentral